AUCUUGAGUGCAGACUUUCAAAUUCGUUCCCCAGUCAAAGCACCAUCUUUAAGAAGCUUAUUUUUUGAAAAGUUUAAUUUGAAUUUGAGUGCAAGAAUGUUCAUUGAAAGUGUUAACAAUAGCAACGUCAACGUAACUGGAGCAAAUUUUACUACUGGAUGUUAUGAAGUUGGGUUCAAUGUUGGUAUGAAAAGUCAAUCAAAUAAAACGUUUCGGGCUCGUUUUGGUGUCGUUCACGUUCCUACAAACAAAGGUUGUGAAAACAUAUCUCCCAUUUUGGCAAUUGGAAUUGGCUUGGACGUAAAUAAAGAUAAUGGAACCUACCAUGGCGUCUAUGCUUUCCCCGAAGACAAAAGACCUCAAGGCUACACUAAAAGCAUUCCAAAGUUAUUUGUUCGCAAUUAUAUAUGAUCAAAACUCACAAAAACUCUUUAUCAUUGAAGUAUACCUGCAUCUUUUAAUGAUAGAGAAACAUAUAAGUUGCUAUAAUAUUCACGAACGACAUAUAAGAUUGCUUAACCAACAUUAAUAACAUUGUCAUAUUUCAUCAAGCGAACGACUUACUUAUCGACGGUGGCCAUUUCUAUAUUUAAUCAAUGUGAACAAUAUAAUACACAAAUACUUAAAAAUUUCGUUGUGUGUAAUUUCAACUAAUUUUGGAAA
Long non-coding RNA from Xenia sp. Carnegie-2017, 663 nucleotides. RefSeq lists it as uncharacterized. The transcript is spliced from 2 exons. The record is from RefSeq and is a predicted model, not a curated record. NCBI's taxonomy places the organism in Eukaryota, Metazoa, Cnidaria, Anthozoa, Malacalcyonacea, Xeniidae.